RNAcentral lists this ribosomal RNA (253 nucleotides) under uncultured bacterium. RNAcentral describes it as "partial 16S ribosomal RNA". It matches the Rfam family "Bacterial small subunit ribosomal RNA", at positions 524 to 776 of the family's 1533-position model. The record is from RNAcentral.
UACGUAGGGGGCAAGCGUUAUCCGGAAUUAUUGGGUGUAAAGGGAGCGUAGACGGUAAUGUAAGUCUGGAGUGAAAGGCGGGGGCCCAACCCCCGGACUGCUCUGGAAACUAUGUUACUAGAGUGGAGGAGAGGUAAGCGGAAUUCCUAGUGUAGCGGUGAAAUGCGUAGAUAUUAGGAGGAACACCAGUGGCGAAGGCGGUCUGCUGGACAGCAACUGACGCUGAGGCGCGAAAGCGUGGGGAGCAAACAGG